This 478-nucleotide ribosomal RNA is filed under the name uncultured bacterium. RNAcentral's name for it is "partial 16S ribosomal RNA". It matches the Rfam family "Bacterial small subunit ribosomal RNA", at positions 28 to 507 of the family's 1533-position model. The record is from RNAcentral.
GAUGAACGCUGGCGGCGUGCUUAACACAUGCAAGUCGAACGAGAAGUGAAGACGGAAACCUUCGGGCGGAAGGCUUUAUUUCGAGUGGCGGACGGGUGAGUAACGCGUGGGUAACCUGCCUCAUACAGGGGGAUAACAGUUGGAAACGACUGUUAAUACCGCAUAAGACCACAGCACCGCAUGGUGCGGGGGUAAAAACUCCGGUGGUAUGAGAUGGACCCGCGUUCGAUUAGCCAGUUGGCGGGGUAACGGCCCACCAAAGCGACGAUCGAUAGCCGAUCUGAGAGGAGGACCGGCCACAUUGGGACUGAGACACGGCCCAAACUCCUACGGGAGGCAGCAGUGGGGAAUAUUGCACAAUGGGGGAAACCCUGAUGCAGCGACGCCGCGUGAGUGAAGAAGUAUUUCGGUAUGUAAAGCUCUAUCAGCAGGGAAGAAAAUGACGGUACCUGAGUAAGAAGCCCCGGCUAACUACGUG